UAGUCCACGCCGUAAACGAUGGAUACUAGGUGUUCGGAGUGUUAACCCUCUGAGUACCGGAGCUAACGCAUUAAGUAUCCCGCCUGGGGAGUACGGUCGCAAGGCUAAAACUCAAAGGAAUUGACGGGGGCCCGCACAAGCGGUGGAGUAUGUGGUUUAAUUCGAAGCAACGCGAAGAACCUUACCUGGGCUUAACAUUCAGUGCCAGCUCUAGAGAUAGAGUUUUCUCUUCGGAGACGCUGGGAUAGGUGCUGCAUGGCUGUCGUCAGCUCGUGUCGUAAGAUGUUGGGUUAAGUCCCGCAACGAGCGCAACCCUUGCCCUUAGUUGCUACCAUUAAGUUGGGCACUCUGAGGGGACUGUCGGUGUUAAACCGGAGGAAGGCGGGGAUGACGUCAAGUCCUCAUGGCCCUUACGUCCAGGGCUACACACGUACUACAAUGGCAAAGACAAACCGUUGCGAAGCCGCGAGGUGGAGCUAAUCGGUAAAACAUUGUCGCAGUCCGGAUUGAAGUCUGCAACUCGACUUC
This 528-nucleotide ribosomal RNA is filed under the name uncultured bacterium. RNAcentral describes it as "bacterial SSU rRNA". It matches the Rfam family "Bacterial small subunit ribosomal RNA", at positions 791 to 1319 of the family's 1533-position model. The record is from RNAcentral.